UACAGAGGUCUCGAGCGUUAGGCGGAAUCACUGGGCUUAAAGCGUGUGUAGGCGGCGGGCUAAGUACCUUGUGAAAUCCCUCAGCUUAACUGGGGAACUGCGUCUGAUACUGGAUGGCUUGGAUUCGGGAGAGGAAUGCGGAAUUCCAGGUGUAGCGGUGAAAUGCGUAGAUAUCUGGAGGAACACCGGUGGCGAAGGCGGCAUUCUGGACCGAUAUUGACGCUGAGGAGCGAAAGCCAGGGGAGCAAACGGG
RNAcentral lists this ribosomal RNA (253 nucleotides) under uncultured bacterium. RNAcentral's name for it is "partial 16S ribosomal RNA". It matches the Rfam family "Bacterial small subunit ribosomal RNA", at positions 524 to 776 of the family's 1533-position model. The record is from RNAcentral.